Molecule: long non-coding RNA, 596 nt
Filed under: Salmo salar (Atlantic salmon)
Lineage: Eukaryota; Metazoa; Chordata; Actinopteri; Salmoniformes; Salmonidae
Description: lncRNA (ENSSSAG00000116473.1)
Source: RNAcentral
GUAGAGACAGAGAGAGAGAGAGAGAGGGUAGAGACAGAGAGGGUAGAGACAGAGAGAGAGAGAGGGUAGAGACAGAGAGGGUAGAGACAGAGAGAGAGAGAGGGUAGAGACAGAGAGGUAGAGACAGAGAGAGAGAGAGAGAGAGAGGGUAGAGACAGAGAGAGAGGGUAGAGACAGAGAGAGAGAGAGGGUAGAGACAGAGAGAGAGAGAGGGUAGAGACAGAGAGAGAGAGGGUAGAGACAGAGAGAGGGUAGAGACAGAGAGAGGGUAGAGACAGAGAGAGAGAGGGUAGAGACAGAGAGAGAGAGAGAGAGAGGGUAGAGACAGAGAGGGGAGACAGAGAGAGAGAGAGAGAGAGGGUAGAGACAGAGAGAGAGAGGGUAGAGACAGAGAGAGAGAGGGUAGAGACAGAGAGAGAGAGGGUAGAGACAGAGAGAGAGAGGGUAGAGACAGAGAGAGAGAGAGGGUAGAGACAGAGAGAGAGAGAGGGUAGAGACAGAGAGAGAGAGAGGGUAGAGACAGAGAGAGAGAGAGGGUAGAGACAGAGAGAGAGAGAGGGUAGAGACAGAGAGAGAGGGUAGAGACAGAGAGAGAG